This 253-nucleotide ribosomal RNA is filed under the name uncultured bacterium. RNAcentral's name for it is "partial 16S ribosomal RNA". It matches the Rfam family "Bacterial small subunit ribosomal RNA", at positions 524 to 776 of the family's 1533-position model. The record is from RNAcentral.
UGCAGAGAGUGCGAACGUUGUUCGGAAUUACUGGGCUUAAAGCGCGCGUAGGCGGCGUCGUAAGUGUCGGGUGAAAUCCCACGGCUCACCCGUGGAACUGCCCGGCAUACUGCGGCGCUAGAGUGUGGUAGGGGAGAGCGGAACUCCUGGUGGAGCGGUGAAAUGCGUAGAUAUCAGGGGGAACACCGGUGGCGAAGGCGGCUCUCUGGUCCACAACUGACGCUGAGGUGCGAAAGCUAGGGGAGCAAACGGG